CAGAACUUCCGGGAAGGCUGUUACUCAGUCCUCCACAGAUGGACAUUUAGGUUGCUUUGCAAUCUUUUGCUACUACAAGAAGCAGCACUGCAGUGCACUGCCUUGUAUGUUCAUGUCUUUGUGCACGUGUGCAGAUUUGAGCUGACAGAAGAAUCUCCAUCUGCAGAGCUGCUGGGUGCCGGGCAGUUUACAUGAAGCCGACUCUUCUUUGCCUGACCCCGGGGUCAUGUGCUUCCCAGCCUGGACCUGGGCUUCUCACCUGGAUCCAGCGAUCGCCUCGGUUUAUGUACUGGAAGCAGACCUUCAGGUCACAGUUGGUUUUCUCCACCAGGUUCUUCACCUCUUUCAGGAACAGCAGGCUGACAUGGAUGGAGACCAGGCCUGAGAAACCCUCGUCGGGGAAACAGAGGCCUUCUACGAAGAAGAGCAGCUCCGCGGAGCCACCCGUGUACUUGACCACAUGGUAGAGCUUCCGCCGGCCCAGGAUGUGGAUAUAGCGUUGGCCGAAGAACGGGUCUGGAGGGAAAAGGACCAACGUCAGACUCCCACCCACAUCAGAAAGAGGACCCGUCUCAAAAGGCAAGUGAUGGGGAGGGACGAGAUUAUGGAAACAGACAAGAGUCCACUCCCUUUAGCAAAGAGAAGAAACUUCUAGAUAAUGUCCAGACAUCAUGAUUUGCCACAGGUCUCAUGUCACGACACCAAGGUCAAGAGGCCAAGGUUGAGGUCCUGCUUGCAUCCCUCCUGCUCCCGCUGGUGACCCCAUCCUCCAUGACAACCUUAGCCUGGAUGGUGUAAACAUCAACAUCUCCAGCCCCCUGGGGCAGCGGAGCCAGCCUGACUCUGGGCACAUUCCAACCUGUGUGAGGUCACUGCUUGGAGCCCAGGGUGGAUCAGAAGGAGGACUCGCAUUGGGUGACUGCUGGCCACUGCCAUCCUGGCUAAAUACCUCCCUGAUGGGAGGGUCCGGGAUCCCUACUCACCCCCUGGCAAGUGCCUUGGAUUUAGUGGGCCUGUCUAGAGGUGGGUCCAGGGCCGGGCCAGAGAUCCUGGCUCCACUAGGCAGCUGGGCAUGCAGAAGCACCCCCCCGCCCGCCACCCCACAACCUGCCUUGUACCAUGGCAAAUUGCAAUGCCGACUAUUUUGCUGAGGGAGCUUUUAAAAUACAUACAUCAUUAUUAUGACAGUCCCUUGCAUAAAACCCUCUAAUGGCAUUCCAUUGCACUCAGAAUAAAAUCCAAACCCAGUCUGCAUGCUCUGGCCCCUGGCCCAGCUCACUGACCUUGACUCCCAACCCUGCUCUGGGCUUCCAUCUGCUCUUCCCACACUCCAAACUGGUCUCCUCCUCCAGGCUUUGCAGAUGCUGCUCCCUCUGCUUAGAACACUCUUCCCUCGCUCACAAGUGGCUGGUUCCUUCUUAUCGUUCGUUUGAGUCUCAGCUCAGAUGUCACCUCCUCAGAGAGGCCUUUCCAGAGGCAUCCAUCUAGUAGUGCCUCUGCCCUGCCAUUCUCCUCAUUUAUUCUAUUUCAUUUCCUCCAAUUGUAGUACUGAUUAUGUCUCUCUUGCUAGACUGGCAGCUCCUCGAGGGCAGGGUGUGAUUGUCGUGUUUACUGCAGAGAUCUCAAAGCUGAGAACAGCGCCUGGCACCGAAGAGCUCAACACGUAUUCACAGAAAGGGUGAGGCAGAGCCGGCAGCUACAAGGACUAGCUCCAGGGCAGGAGCCCGUGCCCUACACAGUGGGGGCCCAGGACACCUGUUGCCAUCAAGAGGAGCAAGGGGUCAACUCUUCGAGGGUGCCCACUGCAUCUUUAGGGGGUCUUUGAAAGUCAGAGAUGGCAGAAAAUACCUAGAGGUGGUGCCUGCCCUGCCUCAGGUAUCCUGAAGGUGACAUGACUCCAGAAAAGAAGUGCCCAAAUGCCCUUCCUCCCCUGAUUCGUCGGGAAGAAGGGCCUCUGGGUUCUACAUAGACCCAUGUCACUCCAGACUCCUUUGAGAGGAGGAGUGAUGUGUCCCCAUGGAGUCUUUCAACUGCAUGGGACAGCAGCAUUGCCAUGUUACAAUCACCCAGAGACCAAUCCAGGUCUUCUCCAGGCACCUGCACCUGUGAAGGCCACAAAUGCUAAGGGGAGGAGGAGAGGUGGCUAGAAAGGGCUGGGCUGGGGUCACUCACUCUCCACGUAGAACACGCCCACUUUGUCUGAGUCUGACAUGGAAAUGUACAGAACCAUCUCGUAUCCCGCGGGGAGGCGGUCAGGGCCUUUGGUCCGCAGGAUCAUCUGGGACAUGUCCUUGAGAUCUGAGGGACAGGAGGUGAGAAUGAAGAGAUCUGCUGCUGGAGCCUUAGCUUCCCAAUGCCUUUUACUUUGAUAAUCAGGAAAAAAUCCCCAUAGAUGUGUAUUAAUGGAAACUAUAGAAAAGCAUAAAGAGGCCGUGUGCUGUGGCUCACACCUGUAAUCCCAGUGUUUUGGGAGGAUGAGUUGGGUAGAUCGCUUGAGGCCAGGAGACAAACACCAGACUGGGAACCAUAGCAAGAUCCCAUCUUUACAAAAAUAAAAAAAA
This is a long non-coding RNA of Piliocolobus tephrosceles (Ugandan red Colobus), 2561 nucleotides long. RefSeq lists it as uncharacterized. The transcript has 3 exons. The record is from RefSeq and is a predicted model, not a curated record. NCBI's taxonomy places the organism in Eukaryota, Metazoa, Chordata, Mammalia, Primates, Cercopithecidae.